UAACUUGUACAAAACAUGAUUUAGAUUCAUAUUCCACCCACAACAUAUACAAAUUAACUCAGUCACAAUGACUUUCAUGUGAUAUGGUGACACCCUGAGCUGCAUCUUUUUAUUUUUCCGCACAGUUGUUACUUACAAUCUUUGGCCUUCAGAUGGCAGCACUCUUACACAAAUGUCUGCGUUUAAUCCUGACUUUGGAAACACACAGAGGGCUCUUAUCUCAAGAACAACUAUAUAUUCAUAAACACCAUCUGACAAUUUUCUUCUCUGAAUCUAACCUUAAAAAUCAGAUGCACCCAGUUUAAGGAAUGUUAGGAAUACUUUGCUGUGACAAAUUACUGUACCAAGUAUUUUGCAGCAAAGCUAAAUGGUCAAACUUUGAGAUUACUCAUGAACAAGGCCGCAGGGUUUACCCCAGUAUCUCUUCUUCCUUGUGUUUGCUUUGCAGUGCAGUAAUCUGCAGCCUUUGCACACUGUGUCUCCGCACAGCAGUGUGUGUCUCAUCCUCCUCCUCCUCUGCAGAAAAUGUGUUUGUAAUGAAUCUUCUCAGGAGGGUUUUAUAGGAUGACAUGCAGCAUGUGUGGAGUGUCUCUGCAGCUGGGAGUAGUGUUGAGCUGGACUUGUGUCAGAAAUUCAAAAAGGAACACACCUAACUCUGUCUCUGUGUCCUCACAAAUGCACAGAGAAGACACGAAGCAGGGAACUACUUGGUAAAAUGUUCUGAUAUUUGUCAGUCUGAACUUUUUUAUACUUUUUUCAUGCUCUUUCAAAGGGCAAUACCAAUCUUUUAAAACAACACAAUAUGCUCUCAAAUCUAGGGACUUUGGGCUGCAUUUGCAUGUUGCGGGAAACUUUGUGGCUCGAGAACAUUUUAUCGAUCAGCUCAAAGGGUGUGAACUGAGUAAACAGAGAUUACAGCUUGGGGCGAGUAAAAUGAAGCUAAAGUCGCUUUAAUCUCCAGCUGAGCUAUGAUUGGUUGUUGUUCUGUGGAGAAUAAAGAGGCCAUGUCUGAACAGAGAAAUGAACAGAAUCAAUGACACAAUUUCAUGCUGAUGCAUCAACUUUGAUUUCUAUUUUCACAGAUGAUUCUGCUCUUUUUGUUCGGUGGGCGCCAUGUGGAAGGCUGUGGCACUUCUUUGAGAUAAAUUCAGACUUAGAUACAGUCAGGACUUAAAAGAAAGAAAUGGAUGUCUUUGAAGGCCACUGCAAACACAGGUUCAGUAUUAUAAAAUCGUCUGGAGUUUGGAGUCCUGUGGCCUGUACUGUUGGGCCUGUACUUUGGCUCAGUGGUGUAUUGAUCUAAAGACUAAGCAUGAUAACACACUCAUAAUAACUAAUGUCAUUGGCAGAUGUUUGUCUGGUUCAGUGCAUUGCUACAUACUUUUUUCAAAUGCCAGCAUUUUUCACUUAGCACAUGUAGGAAGUAAAGGACCAGUAUGUCGUUUUUUAAUACUAUUUCAAUGUCUAUUUUGUGUCCUUUAGCUGUUGUCUAUCUUUUGGUUUAUCUGCUUCUAUUUAUGGUCAGUUAAUGAUACAUUUUUACUCACAAUGUGUUUAUUUGUGGUUAUUUUGUGUGUCUGUUGUGGCUCUUCUAUUUAUCCUUGUAUCAUUAACUGUGUGUCUUUGUGCUAUUCUUCAUCUCUUGUAGAUGAUUUGUGCUCCAUUGUGGCUUUUUUCUAGCUUUGGAUUUGUAAAAAGUGUUACUUUUGAUAAAUAAUGAUAAACUAAAACUCUAUCUCUUUGUGAUCAGUGUCUGUUUGUGGUCAUUUUGGAUAUCUUUUUUGUUGCUUUGUAUCUUUUACGAUCAUACUGUAUCUCAGUUUUUAGUUGGGGUUAUUUUGUGACCCCUUCAGUUUUCUUUACUCUCUUUAGUAAAUGAUUGUAUAAGUCCCAGAAUUUUGUGACAGGUAGGUCUGUUCUGAAAUUGAUCCACAUUUGGGGACAGGGAUCAUAAUUUGUCAGUUUCCUACCUGCCUGUGUUUUUUAAUCAGUUUAUUGUGUAUCAUAACAAACCCUCCUCCCUCAUUUCAGCUAUAUCUCCCUGUGCCAGUCAUAUCUCAGUAACCCUGGGCCAAGUAUUGACUCUACUGCUUGCUUUUUUGUCUGAUUUGUCAGCAGCUGAGGCCGUGGUCAUUGACUCCUGUCUGGCACCAUCAUGCCUUUGGUUACCCAUCAUUCCAUCCUCUGCAGGUAAACACUCACAGACUUCACACUGCCUUGCCACGAGGGCUGGGGUUUGAUCAGUCGCGUGGCUCCUAAACCCAUCCUGACUUUUCUCAGAGAUUUGAUCCAUGAUGCCUAGGGAGAUGGACAUGAGGAAUUCGGAAAAGGUCACAGGUCAAAAGCAGCUGUAGAAGGUUUUG
This is a non-coding RNA of Xyrichtys novacula (pearly razorfish), 2363 nucleotides long. Lineage: Eukaryota; Metazoa; Chordata; Actinopteri; Labriformes; Labridae. The record is from the annotation of a GenBank genome assembly.